GACGAACGCUGGCGGCGUGCUUAACACAUGCAAGUCGAACGGAAAGGCCCUGCUUUUGUGGGGUGCUCGAGUGGCGAACGGGUGAGUAACACGUGAGUAACCUGCCCUUGACUUUGGGAUAACUUCAGGAAACUGGGGCUAAUACCGGAUAGGAGCUCCUGCUGCAUGGUGGGGGUUGGAAAGUUUCGGCGGUUGGGGAUGGACUCGCGGCUUAUCAGCUUGUUGGUGGGGUAGUGGCUUACCAAGGCUUUGACGGGUAGCCGGCCUGAGAGGGUGACCGGCCACAUUGGGUCUGAGAUACGGCCCAGACUCCUACGGGAGGCAGCAGUGGGGAAUAUUGCACAAUGGGCGGAAGCCUGAUGCAGCAACGCCGCGUGCGGGAUGACGGCCUUCGGGUUGUAAACCGCUUUCGCCUGUGACGAAGCGUGAGUGACGGUAAUGGGUAAAGAAGCACCGGCUAACUACGU
Molecule: ribosomal RNA, 467 nt
Filed under: uncultured bacterium
Lineage: Bacteria
Description: partial 16S ribosomal RNA
Rfam family: Bacterial small subunit ribosomal RNA
Source: RNAcentral